RNAcentral lists this ribosomal RNA (447 nucleotides) under uncultured bacterium. Its description in RNAcentral is "partial 16S ribosomal RNA". It matches the Rfam family "Bacterial small subunit ribosomal RNA", at positions 328 to 792 of the family's 1533-position model. The record is from RNAcentral.
AAGCCAGACUCCUACGGGAGGCAGCAGUGGGGAAUAUUGCACAAUGGGGGAAACCCUGAUGCAGCGACGCCGCGUGAAGGAAGAAGUCUUUCGGUAUGUAAACUUCUAUCAGCAGGGAAGAAAAUGACGGUACCUGACUAAGAAGCCCCGGCUAACUACGUGCCAGCAGCCGCGGUAAUACGUAGGGGGCAAGCGUUAUCCGGAUUUACUGGGUGUAAAGGGAGCGUAGGCGGUGCAGCAAGUCAGAAGUGAAAGCCCGGGGCUCAACUCCGGGACUGCUUUUGAAACUGUUGAACUAGAUUGCGGGAGAGGUAAGUGGAAUUCCUAGUGUAGCGGUGAAAUGCGUAGAUAUUAGGAGGAACACCAGUGGCGAAGGCGGCUUACUGGACUGUAACUGGCGUUGAGGCCCGAAAGCGUGGGGAGCAAACAGGAUUAGAUACCCCAGUA